Orchesella cincta is the source of this 45-nucleotide regulatory RNA element. It matches the Rfam family "Histone 3' UTR stem-loop". Rfam says of the family: The mRNAs of metazoan histone genes lack a poly-A tail. 3' end processing occurs at a site between a highly conserved stem-loop (modelled by this family) and a purine rich region around 20 nts downstream (the histone downstream element, or HDE). The record is from Rfam. NCBI's taxonomy places the organism in Eukaryota, Metazoa, Arthropoda, Collembola, Entomobryomorpha, Orchesellidae.
CCAACGGCUCUUUUAAGAGCCACCACUUUUUACGAAGAGCAACUG